Molecule: long non-coding RNA, 1054 nt
Organism: Macadamia integrifolia
Lineage: Eukaryota; Viridiplantae; Streptophyta; Magnoliopsida; Proteales; Proteaceae
Exons: 2
Source: RefSeq, a predicted model, not a curated record
UGCUAUACAAAUUUGGAAAUGGUACUCAUAUUGUCUUCUACUCACCUAUCUUGGAAUCACUAUACAAAUUUGGAAAUCAAGUUUUCAAAUGCAAUUCAUGUUUGAUGUAGAACAAAAAAUUAAAAGAUUCACACAUGACAGAAGAUAGGGGACUCUUCCUAAAUCGUAACAGACAUCAAGAGCUCAUGUAAUGGGGUAAAAAGAAGCAAUGGCAAAGAAAAAACAAAUUGUUACUGAGUACCCACGGGAAGGUUGUGAGAUUCAACCUUUUUUUCUGCUUCCAUAACAUACCAUGUCAGAUAUUCAUCUGUCUACAUGACCCAAAAAACAGAACAUGAAACCAAAAUUCAUGGGAUUCAUAUUACUAGAAAUAAACAAAUAGAAUCAUAGUAAUAGGAGCAGAUAAUUUUAUGGGAUUCAUAUUACUUAUAAGAAAUUGACUGAACUCAUUUCUAAGUUUGUUUUUUCAAACCAGUUCUGAUAUCUUAAAUAAUUUUAUGUGUUGAUUUUUUUUCAUAUCAGUUUUGAUAUCUUAAAUAAUAGUUUUGCUCAAUGAUGUUAUACUAUAUUAUUAAUAUAAAAGGUAUUAUUAAAAGUAGUAGUUUUUCACUAUCAAGCCUAAAGGUCUUGCACAUAUAUAACGACAAAGAUCAACCAAAAGGAAUAUUGCUCAGAACAAGUAAGAAAGUUAUCUGUGUUGGUUAAUUCAUCGAGAAUACCCAACCUGUGUCAUUACUGAAUCUACAACCUGCAAAUCUGAUUGCUUGGCAGUAACCAAAAUCUGGAACUCAACACAUCCAAUCACCAAUUCAUGGUUGUUUCAGAGGUAUUUAUAUUUCUUCUUUUGGUACAACACUGAUUGAUAUUUUUGUUUCCGAAUUAUUUAUAUUACCAUCCAAAAGGGAUUAUUUUGAGUGUCAGUAUCAGUUUUAUGCCUGUUGGUGUUUGUAAAAUUAUCAGAAACCAAAUUUGGAAAGAGGAAAAACAUGAAACUGCUUUUUCCCUGUAUGGGAUGAUGUUUAAUUCUCUAAUGGCAAAUGCUUCUUUUAGACCA